AAACACCAGGCCUCACUGCCUGCCCUCCCCUCUAGCCUCCAGCACACCUGCAGAGCAUGGCAAGCACUCAACCCACAUACCAACACGGGGACAAAGCCCACCGUUUUGGAUCAAGGUUGAAGGGGCAACGGAAACUAGAACAGGCCGCCAUUGUUCUUCUGAAGAGCACAUUCGAUACAAGCGCUGCUUUUGCUCCGGUAACUCAUCCGCACCUCUUCCAUUGUGUGGUCCCACGAUGCUCCUCUGCUUGUGUGUCCAUACAUCAUGUCUGUGCGUGCUGUACCAAAGCAGAUCCCCUACAGAAUAGGCUCCAGAGUGUCAUCCGCACAGAGCUCUCCCCUCACCGCCGGCUGACCGCGGCAUUAUUCCGAUGGGGACUGUUUGACUAAUAAGCAUUUUCGCUUCACGAGCGCUGGCUCUAGUCAAUGCUGCUGCUCUGGAUAUGCACACGGUACAUAGAGGACACCUUCAAUUGGAAAAAGGAAAGCUGGCCGACGCUAUUAAAAGUACCCACUGGUCCGGAAAACACACUGUGAUUUCAUUAUAAGAAUCAUAUAAUGGUCGUAAACACAACAAGUUGCAAUUUCGCUUGGCCAAUUUGCAGAGUAUGUAGAACAGAAACGGCCUUUUCUCUGUUUGAUUCUUUGCCAGUUACAUUGCAUUGCUCCCGAUGUAUUAUUUUGUUUCACUCUCAAUAUUACCGCACUGUUAUAGAGGGAAAACAAAUUCUCCACUGAGCCGGCGUGGAAGCGG
Molecule: long non-coding RNA, 753 nt
Organism: Gasterosteus aculeatus aculeatus (three-spined stickleback)
Lineage: Eukaryota; Metazoa; Chordata; Actinopteri; Perciformes; Gasterosteidae
Source: Ensembl